This 1348-nucleotide ribosomal RNA is filed under the name marine metagenome. RNAcentral describes it as "bacterial SSU rRNA". It matches the Rfam family "Bacterial small subunit ribosomal RNA". The record is from RNAcentral.
UUCCCUUUGGCCUGGAAUAACACGAGGAAACUUGUGCUAAUACCGGAUAAGUCUUUACGGAGAAAGCUUUAUGCACCAUUGGAUGAGCCUGCACUUGAUUAGUUUGUUGGUAGGGUAAUGGCCUACCAAGACUGUGAUCAAUAGCUGAUUUGAGAGGAUGAUCAGCCACAUUGGGACUGAGACACGGCCCAAACUCCUACGGGAGGCAGCAGUGGGGAAUCUUGCACAAUGGAGGAAACUCUGAUGCAGCGAUGCCGCGUGAGUGAAGAAGGCCCUUGGGUUGUAAAGCUCUUUCGUCGGGGAAGAAAAUGACUGUACCCGAAUAAGAAGGUCCGGCUAACUUCGUGCCAGCAGCCGCGGUAAUACGAAGGGACCUAGCGUAGUUCGGAAUUACUGGGCUUAAAGAGUUCGUAGGUGGUUGAAAAAGUUGGUGGUGAAAUCCCAGAGCUUAACUCUGGAACUGCCAUCAAAACUUUUCAGCUAGAGUUUGAUAGAGGAAAGCAGAAUUUCUAGUGUAGAGGUGAAAUUCGUAGAUAUUAGAAAGAAUACCAAUUGCGAAGGCAGCUUUCUGGAUCAUUACUGACACUGAGGAACGAAAGCAUGGGUAGCGAAGAGGAUUAGAUACCCUCGUAGUCCAUGCCGUAAACGAUGUGUGUUAGACGUUGGAAAUUUAUUUUCAGUGUCGCAGCGAAAGCGAUAAACACACCGCCUGGGGAGUACGACCGCAAGGUUAAAACUCAAAUGAAUUGACGGGGACCCGCACAAGUAGUGGAGCAUGUGGUUUAAUUCGAAGAUACGCGCAGAACCUUACCAACACUUGACAUGUUCGUCGCGACUUUAAGAGAUUAAAGUUUUCGGUUCGGCCGGACGAAACACAGGUGCUGCAUGGCUGUCGUCAGCUCGUGUCGUGAGAUGUUGGGUUAAGUCCCGCAACGAGCGCAACCCUCACUUUUAGUUGCCAUCAUUUAGUUGGGCACUCUGAAAGAACUGCCAGUGAUAAGCUGGAGGAAGGUGGGGAUGACGUCAAGUCCUCAUGGCCCUUACGUGUUGGGCUACACACGUGCUACAAUGGUAUUUACAACAGGAAGCAAAACGGCGACGUUAAGCAAAUCCUAAAAAAAUACCUCAGUUCGGAUUGCACUCUGCAACUCGAGUGCAUGAAGCUGGAAUUACUAGUAAUCGUGGAUCAGCGUGCCACGGUGAAUGCGUUCCCGGGUCUUGUACACACCGCCCGUCACACCAUGGGAGUUGGUUCUACCUUAAGGCAAGGUUUAAAACCCUUGACCACGGUAUAGUCAGCGACUGGGGUGAAGUCGUAACAAGGUAGCCGUAGGGGAACCUGCGGCUG